GGUGGCUCAGUGGUAGAGCGCUUGGCUUGCAUGCAUGAAGCCCUGGGUUCGAUUCCUCAGCACCA
This 65-nucleotide transfer RNA is filed under the name Dipodomys ordii (Ord's kangaroo rat). It matches the Rfam family "tRNA". From Rfam's summary of the family: Transfer RNA (tRNA) molecules are approximately 80 nucleotides in length. Their secondary structure includes four short double-helical elements and three loops (D, anti-codon, and T loops). The record is from Rfam by way of RNAcentral. Lineage: Eukaryota; Metazoa; Chordata; Mammalia; Rodentia; Heteromyidae.